GAGCGUCAGCUCAGCGAGAGAAUGGCCGUGGGAGUCCAGGAAUGCCUUCGGUUGUCUGAAAGGUGUCUGCACAGACACCCAUGCCUGUGUGGUCCCCCUCCUCCGAGCAUGCUGCUGUUGGGCACCUCCCUCGUUAAGCUCAGAAUGAACACGCUGCAGCCAUGAAAUUAAAAGACUCUUGCUCCUUCGAAGAAAAACUAUGACCAACCUAGACAGCAUAUUAAAAAGCAGAGACAUCACUUUGUCAACAAAUGUCCAUCUAGUCAAAGCUAUGGUUUUUCCAGUAGUCAUGUACGGAUGUGAGAGCUGGAGUAUAAAGAAAGCUGAGCACCGAAGAAUUGAUGCUUUUGAACUGUGGUGUUGGAGAAGACUCUUGAGAGUCCCUUGCACUGUAAGGAGAUCCAACCAGUCCAUCCUAAAGGAAAUCAGUCCUGAAUAUUCACUGGAAGGACUGAUGCUGAAACUCCAAUACUUUGGCCACCUGAUGCAAAGAACUGACUCGUUGGAAAAGACCCUGAUGCUGGGAAAGACUGAAGGCAGGAGGAGAAGGGGACGACAGAGGAUGAGAUGGUUGGAUGGCAUCACCGACUCAAUGGACGUGAGUUUGAGUGAACUUCAGGAAUUGGUGAUAGACAGGGAAACAUGGCGUGCUGCAGUUCAUGGGGUCGCAAAGAGUCAGACAUGACUGAGCAACUAAACUGAACCCUCCUAAGUGGCAGAUUUCUUGAAAAUUUUU
Molecule: long non-coding RNA, 736 nt
Organism: Budorcas taxicolor (takin)
Lineage: Eukaryota; Metazoa; Chordata; Mammalia; Artiodactyla; Bovidae
Exons: 3
Source: RefSeq, a predicted model, not a curated record